UAUCUCUUUGCUCCUUUUGAGGUGGUUUUAGCAUUAUCUCGAAAUAAGGCGUCGUGGCGGUUAAGUUUUGGAGCACAUUUUUGUUUAGUUUGAGAGAGAGAGAGAGAGAGUAGAGAGAAGCAGAGAAGAGGUGCACGAGAAUUAUGGCGGAGAUUCAGCGCAGUGACGAAGUUGUGUCGGUGGAGCUCCCAGCUCCUGCUUCCUGGAAGAAAUUGGUACUCUUAGUAGCUAUUUUGCUUAAUGUUGACUUUCGUAGAGCUCAA
Molecule: non-coding RNA, 263 nt
Organism: Salvia hispanica
Lineage: Eukaryota; Viridiplantae; Streptophyta; Magnoliopsida; Lamiales; Lamiaceae
Source: RefSeq, a predicted model, not a curated record